Molecule: ribosomal RNA, 465 nt
Filed under: Vreelandella stevensii
Lineage: Bacteria; Pseudomonadati; Pseudomonadota; Gammaproteobacteria; Oceanospirillales; Halomonadaceae
Description: partial 16S ribosomal RNA
Rfam family: Bacterial small subunit ribosomal RNA
Source: RNAcentral
CCUACGGGCGGCUGCAGUGGGGAAUAUUGGACAAUGGGGGGAACCCUGAUCCAGCCAUGCCGCGUGUGUGAAGAAGGCCCUCGGGUUGUAAAGCACUUUCAGUGAGGAAGAACGCCUGGUGGUUAAUACCCAUCAGGAAAGACAUCACUCACAGAAGAAGCACCGGCUAACUCCGUGCCAGCAGCCGCGGUAAUACGGAGGGUGCGAGCGUUAAUCGGAAUUACUGGGCGUAAAGCGCGCGUAGGUGGCUUGAUAAGCCGGUUGUGAAAGCCCCGGGCUCAACCUGGGAACGGCAUCCGGAACUGUCAAGCUAGAGUACAGGAGAGGAAGGUAGAAUUCCCGGUGUAGCGGUGAAAUGCGUAGAGAUCGGGAGGAAUACCAGUGGCGAAGGCGGCCUUCUGGACUGACACUGACACUGAGGUGCGAAAGCGUGGGUAGCAAACAGGAUUAGAUACCCCAGUAGUC